Long non-coding RNA from Phyllostomus hastatus (greater spear-nosed bat), 1762 nucleotides. RefSeq lists it as uncharacterized. NCBI's taxonomy places the organism in Eukaryota, Metazoa, Chordata, Mammalia, Chiroptera, Phyllostomidae. The record is from RefSeq and is a predicted model, not a curated record. The transcript has 4 exons.
GCUAACCAGAGAGAUGAGGAAGAGGAGGAGAGGCGCGACUGGAGCGGCGCAGCGUCGGCUUCCCGGUGGUGGACGCUGCUAGCAACUGCAGGCGACGCUGGCCGACGGACCGGACUCGGGUUUCCCAAAAGUCAGGCUGGAGAGGUUCGGCACCACCCAAGACCACUCAGCAGAACCCUCAUCACCCGCCCACCCCCAUCUUCUGGCAUCAUCAUCUUCCUGGCAACUGGCCCGUUUCGGUCACUCCCUGCCGUCGGCCCGGUCCCGUCUCAUCCUCACGGCCCCUCUGAGGUGCUUUUGUGUACAGGUGGGCAAACCUCACCGAGCAGUCCCUUGAUGAAACUCUCUUCAAAUCACUCAGUUCGAGUGCACCAUCUGUUUCCUGCCGGAGCCCCGAUCACAUUGUGCUCUGUUGUGCUCAUCCAGGACUCCAGAGUUUCCAGAGUUUCCAGAGUUUCCAGAGUUUCCACUUAAACGAGACUGGGGUGAUCCAUUCUGGCUGGAAGGGGCACAGUGGGGGCUUGUCCCGGAGCUGUGUCUGCAAGCAGAAACAGCUGAGCGUGGCGGGCUGCGUUUUCCUGAUUUCCAGUCUGCUCCUGGGCGGAGGCCAUUACGUCCACGCGGACUGCUCUCUCCACACCUGACCCAGAGGACGCCUUCACCCUGAUCACAAGACCAAAGGGCCGGCUCCCUCCCCCACAUAAACUUCCUCACGAAACGUAUUCCAGUCCACCUUGACCCCAGGCCAGCAGCUGAAUGGCAGGAACAACAGGCAGGCAAAGUACUAGACUGGAGACCUGGCUGGUUAUAUACUUUGCCAGUGUCUUGCUGGGUGACCUUGAGCAAGUCACCUUUCCUCUAAGGACCUCCGUUUCCUCUCUCUGGGAUAUGAGGAAGGACAUCGGAUCAGGAUGAAAGCUUGAGCCAAGUUUCUCCCUCCACCCCAGGUCUGGCCAGGCCUUGGUCCUGUGAACAAGAACUUCUGGGGUCCUUUAUUUUGUAUUAAUUUGCAUAUGUUUGCAUAUGUGCUAUAAGAGGCACCGACUACAUUUCAUUCAUAGAAAGAAUUAAGACUGUCAUCUAAUUGAUGUCCAGGAUGGAAAAGACCCAAGGGCUCGUGGUUCCACUUAAAUCUUAGCAGCGAGAGGCCUUCAGUAACUAACCUUCCAACCCCCUCCUUUUAGAAAUGAGUAACUGAGCCUCAGAGAGGGAAAGUGACAAGGCCAAGUUCACCAGGAGGUGGCCCUUGGAGGAGCAGCAGGCUUCCUCCAGGCUUCCCACGGUCUGCCAGACGGUUGCACGAGGCACCUCACUUCUCUCCAUGCAGGGUAUGAGCAGAGGGGCUUCAUUUUCUUCUGAGGCCCUUCUUUGCACCCUAGCAUAACAAAGCCUGCUGGCUUGGCAGCCUCCGCAACCACUACAGGAAACCAAAGUGCAUAGAAAGGCAGAUGGGAGUGGAAAAUCCUCUCAGCGAUGUUAGAUCGUUGCUUCUACCUGUUCUAAAAAUAACCCGGCUUAUUAGAAAUUGAUAGAGGACAAGGUAACCCGCAAGUUGUUCCACUGAGGCUGGGGAGGGGGGCCGGCGUGUUUCUGCCCGAGCCGAAAGGGAGCUGGGAGAAGCUGCCGGGAAGCGAUGCGCUGACUGGACCCACAGAGCUCAGCGUCUGGCCGAUGGCAGCAGAGGGGCGAAGACACACCUGGAUGCUGCCUUCAGGAGAUCUUAGUCUACAGAGGGGAAGAUGGAUACCAAAAGUCAACAAAA